This 2442-nucleotide unclassified non-coding RNA is filed under the name Hevea brasiliensis (rubber tree). Lineage: Eukaryota; Viridiplantae; Streptophyta; Magnoliopsida; Malpighiales; Euphorbiaceae. The record is from RNAcentral.
AAUUUACAGAAGUCAGCUUUCACUCGUGUCAUUGAUGCUUACAAGCAAAUCGCGAUUGCUGGAGGUUCUCAAGUCCGGUUUUCUCUUCUUGCCUAUUUAGGUGUUGAGUUUCCUUCGGAGCUAAACCCUUGGAAAUUUCUACAAACACAUAUAUUGUCCGAUUAUAUGAAUCAUGAGGGGCACGAGUUGACAUUGCGUGUCCUCUACAGGUUGUAUGGGCAUGCAGAAGAAGACCAGGAUUUUUUUUCUUCAACAGCUGCAGCAUCCGUAUAUGAAACAUUUUUACUUGCAGUGGCAGAAACACUUAGAGAUUCUUUUCCAGCUUCUGACAAAUCUCUAAGUAGAUUGCUGUGUGAAGCUCCUCACUUACCAAAUUCUACUCUCAAGUUGUUAGAGAGCUUCUGUUGUCCUGGUAGUUGUGAAAAGGAUGAGAAGGAGUUGCAUAGUGGAGAUCGAGUCACUCAAGGCCUCAGUACUGUGUGGAACCUGAUUAUGCUGAGACCUCUAAUGAGAGAAGCUUGUCUCAAAAUUGCUUUACAGAGUGCUGUUCAUCACUUGGAAGAGGUGCGCAUGAAGGCAAUACGGCUGGUUGCCAACAAGCUUUAUCCUCUGACAUCCAUCUCUCAACAAAUAGAACUCUUUGCCAAUGAAAUGUUGAUGUCAGUUUCAACUGUUGAUCAUAAAGCAGACUCAAAUGGUGAUGAAUCUGAUCCCAUAUUGCAGAAGGAUUCUGCUUCUGAAAAGCCCUCGGAAGAAGUACCAUCAUUUUCUGCCUCCUCUAACCCUCUUCAGUCAUCCACUUCUGGAAGCAAAUCACCAUUUUCUAUUGCUGAGGGUCAGCGACGCAUAUCGCUCUAUUUUGCACUGUGUACUAAGAAGCACUCACUCUUUGGUCAAAUAUUUGUUGUAUAUAGUGGUGCAUCCGAGGCUGUACAGCAGGCAAUACAUCAACAGAUCCACAUGCUAGUUCGGACAAUUGGUUCUUCAUCUGAGUUACUUGAUAUAAUAUCAGAUCCGCAUAAUGGAAGUGAAAAACUAUUGAUACAGGUUUUGCAAACGUUGACUGAGGGGAUAGUUCCUUCCUUACAGUUGAUAACUACCAUCAGGAAGCUAUAUGAGACUAAAGUAAAGGAUGUUCAGCUCCUUAUUAUGAUACUUCCUUUCCUGUCAAAAGAUGAGGUUUUGCUUCUUUUUCCACAUGUUGUGAAUGCUCCAUUGGAUAAAUUCCAAGGCGCUCUCCUUCGUACUCUACAGGGAUCAUCUCACUCAGGUCCAGUGCUAACUCCUACUGAAGCAUUAAUUGCUAUCCAUAGGAUAGAUCCUGAAAGAGAAGGCAUUCCUCUAAAGAGGGUUACAGAUGCAUGCAAUGCUUGUUUUGAGCAGAGAGAGAUAUUCACGCAACAAGUUCUUGCAAAGGUCUUGAACCAAUUGGUUGAACAGAUUCCUCUUCCUUUGUUGUUCAUGCGGACAGUAUUACAAGCUAUUGGUGCUUUUCCAUCUCUGGUGGAUUUCAUCAUGGAGAUCCUCUCUCGUCUUGUUAGCAAGCAGAUAUGGAAAUAUCCAAAGCAGUGGGUAGGAUUUGUGAAGUGUGCCCUUUUGACCCGGCCACAAUCUUUUGGAGUGCUUCUUCAGCUACCUCCAGCUCAGCUUGAAAAUGCAUUGGGUAGAACACCUGCUCUUAGAGCUCCUUUAGUUGCACAUGCAAGCCAAGCACACAUAAAAUCUUCACUUCCAAGGUCUGUCUUAAUGGUUCUUGGAAUUGAAUCGGAUGCUCAAGUUUCAAGUCAGGCACCUCCCAACCAGUCUCAGACAGGUGAUAUUGACAAUUCUGAUAAAGAAGAAGGCACUGAAAAAUCCAAGGACUCGUCAGUUGUCAGUUGAUUUGAUGUGUGAGCUUGGUGCUUCACUUGUAGAUUGCUGGCGUACAGUUUGUAUUGCAUCCUGAACUCUAGGGAGUCUUGUUCCCCACUCUAGACAAAGCUCUCGAUUCUAUUCCUUCAAGUAUCUGGCAGGCUGAUGCUAGAGCAGGGUCCUUAAUGGGAAUCAGUUUUGUGGUUCUUUUCUGGCCUUGGAAUGAGGUUAUCAGAAUACCUCUGCCUUGCUGUGGAUGCUCGGCUGUGUUGCAAUUGCUUUUUCAUGUAGAGGGCAGUCUUGGACUCUCCCAACCGCAGGUAUUGUUGUCGGUAAUGAGUAAUAGUUGUAUUUAAGGAGUAUCCUGAUCUCUUCCAGAGGGUGCUCAGCUCGACCUUUUGUAUUAUAGCUUAUUUAGGAACUAGGAAGUCACAGGGUGUCUUGAUAACCAAAUAAGUAGGUGCUUGCUAUGUUGUAUGUUGCCUGUAUUCUUCAAUAGUCAAAGCAUUUCAGCAAAUUUUAGGAAUUUGAGUGACCGCCUAAAGAAGUUGUUUGUGCGAGAUUUUGACGUAAAAUGCAUAUUUAGCUGAA